RNAcentral lists this ribosomal RNA (662 nucleotides) under bacterium EAB-4I81.01. RNAcentral's name for it is "bacterial SSU rRNA". It matches the Rfam family "Bacterial small subunit ribosomal RNA", at positions 59 to 737 of the family's 1533-position model. The record is from RNAcentral.
AAGUCGAACGAUGAACCACUUCGGUGGGGAUUAGUGGCGAACGGGUGAGUAACACGUGGGCAAUCUGCCCUGCACUCUGGGACAAGCCCUGGAAACGGGGUCUAAUACCGGAUACUGACCCUCGCAGGCAUCUGCGAGGUUCGAAAGCUCCGGCGGUGCAGGAUGAGCCCGCGGCCUAUCAGCUUGUUGGUGAGGUAAUGGCUCACCAAGGCGACGACGGGUAGCCGGCCUGAGAGGGCGACCGGCCACACUGGGACUGAGACACGGCCCAGACUCCUACGGGAGGCAGCAGUGGGGAAUAUUGCACAAUGGGCGAAAGCCUGAUGCAGCGACGCCGCGUGAGGGAUGACGGCCUUCGGGUUGUAAACCUCUUUCAGCAGGGAAGAAGCGAAAGUGACGGUACCUGCAGAAGAAGCGCCGGCUAACUACGUGCCAGCAGCCGCGGUAAUACGUAGGGCGCAAGCGUUGUCCGGAAUUAUUGGGCGUAAAGAGCUCGUAGGCGGCUUGUCGCGUCGGUUGUGAAAGCCCGGGGCUUAACCCCGGGUCUGCAGUCGAUACGGGCAGGCUAGAGUUCGGUAGGGGAGAUCGGAAUUCCUGGUGUAGCGGUGAAAUGCGCAGAUAUCAGGAGGAACACCGGUGGCGAAGGCGGAUCUCUGGGCCGA